Molecule: ribosomal RNA, 392 nt
Filed under: uncultured Bicosoeca
Lineage: Eukaryota; Bigyra; Bicosoecida
Description: partial small subunit ribosomal RNA
Rfam family: Eukaryotic small subunit ribosomal RNA
Source: RNAcentral
GCUUGUCUCAAAGAUUAAGCCAUGCAUGUCUAAGUAUAAGCCUUUAUAUGGUGAGACUGCGAAUGGCUCAUUAAAUCAGAAACUGUUUAUUUGAUAGUGCCUACUACAUGGAUACCUGUAGUAAUUCUAGAGCUAAUACAUGCGACAACCCCUGACUGCUUGCAGAAAGGGCGUAUUUAUUAGAUACAACCAACCCUUCGGGUCCCUGGUGAAUCAUAAUAACUUAGCGAACCGCAUGCUUCGGCGGCGGUGAUUCAUUCAAGUUUCUGCCCUAUCAGCUUUCGAUGGUAGGGUAUUGGCCUACCAUGGCGGUGACGGGUGACGGAGAAUUAGGGUUCGAUUCCGGAGAGGGAGCCUGAGAGAUGGCUACCACAUCCAAGGAAGGCAGCAGG